RNAcentral lists this unclassified non-coding RNA (628 nucleotides) under Hevea brasiliensis (rubber tree). The record is from RNAcentral. Lineage: Eukaryota; Viridiplantae; Streptophyta; Magnoliopsida; Malpighiales; Euphorbiaceae.
GUAAUUCUAAAUAUAAUUCUCCAAUAUACAUAGCAAUGCAUACAAUGCAUGAACUAAUUUCUUUAUGAACUAAUUUCUUUAAUCAAUUAACUAUUAUUGAAAGAAGAAACGUCAACACGGGAGGCGAUAUCUAUAUAUCUAUUGCCACCAUUCUCUCCUGACAUGAAUUUUCUGACGACGUCUUCUGGGUUUUAUUUUAGGCUCCUUGGGCAAUAGUAUGUGCGAAAUACAAAUGCUUACGAACGAUAUAAGCGCAUGUGCAGCAAAGCCAUAAAGGAAGACAUGGAAAAGGGAGUACACUUCAGCCUUCUUAUCUGGAAUUAUGACUGACAUUGAAAGCAAGUAGGAAACAAUCAACCAACUAACAGAACAAGGAGUAAUAAGUGAGAAUCCGCUGCAGUCUUGCAAAAGAUUUGUAACUGUUCGCAGAGCUGUUAGGACGAACAAGCCAUAAUUUAAAAUAUAAAAUAUUUCAAAGUCGUUCUUAGACAUCACUGAUGUGCCCGCCAAGUGUAGCGAAGUUGCUUCAGAAGUGGAAGAGUUACUAACACGAAUAGGCGAAUUAAUAUCUACAGUAGCAUUACCCUGCCAAAGACCACCAGGAGGACUCAGUGAUGCCUGGUACAUG